RNAcentral lists this ribosomal RNA (253 nucleotides) under uncultured bacterium. RNAcentral's name for it is "partial 16S ribosomal RNA". It matches the Rfam family "Bacterial small subunit ribosomal RNA", at positions 524 to 776 of the family's 1533-position model. The record is from RNAcentral.
UACAGAGGGUGCGAGCGUUAAUCGGAAUUACUGGGCGUAAAGCGCACGUAGUCGGCUUUGCAAGUCGGUUGUGAAAUCCCCGGGCUCAACCUGGGAACUGCAUCCGAGACUGCAUUGCUAGAGUAUGGGAGAGGGAAGCGGAAUUUCUGUUGUAGCAGUGAAAUGCGUAGAUAUCAGAAGGAACAUCAGUGGCGAAGGCGGCUUCCUGGACCAAUACUGACGAUCAGGUGCGAAAGCGUGGGGAGCAAACAGG